GACGAACGCUGGCGGCGUGCUUAACACAUGCAAGUCGAACGGAAAGGCCCUGCUUUUGUGGGGUGCUCGAGUGGCGAACGGGUGAGUAACACGUGAGUAACCUGCCCUUGACUUUGGGAUAACUUCAGGAAACUGGGGCUAAUACCGGAUAGGAGCUCCUGCUGCAUGGUGGGGGUUGGAAAGUUUCGGCGGUUGGGGAUGGACUCGCGGCUUAUCAGCUUGUUGGUGGGGUAGUGGCUUACCAAGGCUUUGACGGGUAGCCGGCCUGAGAGGGUGACCGGCCACAUUGGGACUGAGAUACGGCCCAGACUCCUACGGGAGGCAGCAGUGGGGAAUAUUGCACAAUGGGCGGAAGCCUGAUGCAGCAACGCCGCGUGCGGGAUGACGGCCUUCGGGUUGUAAACCGCUUUCGCCUGUGACGAAGCGUGAGUGACGGUAAUGGGUAAAGAAGCACCGGCUAACUACGUGCCAGCAGCCGCGGUGAUACGUAGGGUGCGAGCGUUGUCCGGAUUUAUUGGGCGUAAAGGGCUCGUAGGUGGUUGAUCGCGUCGGAAGUGUAAUCUCGGGGCUUAACCCUGAGCGUGCUUUCGAUACGGGUUGACUUGAGGAAGGUAGGGGAGAAUGGAAUUCCUGGUGGAGCGGUGGAAUGCGCAGAUAUCAGGAGGAACACCAGUGGCGAAGGCGGUUCUCUGGGCCUUUCCUGACGCUGAGGAGCGAAAGCGUGGGGAGCGAACAGGCUUAGAUACCCUGGUAGUCCACGCUGUAAACGGUGGGUACUAGGUGUGGGGUCCAUUCCACGGGUUCCGUGCCGUAGCUAACGCUUUAAGUACCCCGCCUGGGGAGUACGGCCGCAAGGCUAAAACUCAAAGGAAUUGACGGGGCCCCGCACAAGCGGCGGAGCAUGCGGAUUAAUUCGAUGCAACGCGUAGAACCUUACCUGGGUUUGACAUGGAUCGGGAGUGCUCAGAGAUGGGUGUGCCUCUUUUGGGGUCGGUUCACAGGUGGUGCAUGGCUGUCGUCAGCUCGUGUCGUGAGAUGUUGGGUUAAGUCCCGCAACGAGCGCAACCCUUGUUCACUGUUGCCAGCACGUUAUGGUGGGGACUCAGUGGAGACCGCCGGGGUCAACUCGGAGGAAGGUGGGGAUGACGUCAAGUCAUCAUGCCCCUUAUGUCCAGGGCUUCACGCAUGCUACAAUGGCUGGUACAGAGAGUGGCGAGCCUGUGAGGGUGAGCGAAUCUCGGAAAGCCGGUCUCAGUUCGGAUUGGGGUCUGCAACUCGACCUCAUGAAGUCGGAGUCGCUAGUAAUCGCAGAUCAGCAACGCUGCGGUGAAAACGUUCCCGGG
RNAcentral lists this ribosomal RNA (1343 nucleotides) under uncultured bacterium. Its description in RNAcentral is "16S ribosomal RNA". It matches the Rfam family "Bacterial small subunit ribosomal RNA", at positions 28 to 1378 of the family's 1533-position model. The record is from RNAcentral.